This is a long non-coding RNA of Erinaceus europaeus (western European hedgehog), 583 nucleotides long. RefSeq lists it as uncharacterized. The record is from RefSeq and is a predicted model, not a curated record. NCBI's taxonomy places the organism in Eukaryota, Metazoa, Chordata, Mammalia, Eulipotyphla, Erinaceidae. The transcript is spliced from 2 exons.
UGUGGUCCCUGUCCCCACAACCAGCAGGACUGGCAGGUCAUGGAUGCUCUUGAGGGGGCAAGGAGAGCAUAUCCUGAAUACCUUAAUUCUGAUGGAAAAAAAAAAGAAGAAAGAAAGAAAGAAAAAGCUAAAGAUAGAAAUCAAGGCUACAUAGCAUUGAAGAAAUGAAGCAAUGCUUGUAAAUUCCAAAGGAAAACAUUUUCCAACCCAGAAUUCCAUAUCCAGCCAAAUGAUUAAUUGAACAUAAAUGAAGACCAUCUUGCUUCAGAUGUUUUCUGACUGUGCACCCUUCCCAGGAAGCUACAGGGAGUGGUGCACUAAUUAAGAAUCUAUCAAAGGAACUGGGGAAAUGGCUCAACUGGUAGAACAUCAGACUUUCAUGCCUGAGGCUCCUGGUUCAAUGGCCAGGGCUGCAUGUAUCAGAGUGGUGUUCUGACUUCUCUCUCUCCUUUCAGCCUCAACUAAAACACUCUCUUUCAGUGGAUGUGGUGUACACCUUGUAAUCUUACAAUCUUGCAACCCACUGUUAAUUAAAAAUAUAAAUAAAAAGAGAAAAGAAGAAAAAUCAAAUGCUGUUAUCUCU